AUCUCUACUUGGAGAUUACUUUCUUUGGAGUGUUUAGUGAGCCCUGAUUCUUGGAAGGGGUGACUCCUUGUUGGCUUUGAAUCAGUGGAACUUAACCUCUGAGUAAAACUGAAGAUGGCAACCGUGAUGUUCGUUGCUUAGGGGAGCCUGCGGCUUGGCCACAUACCGAGGUGACACCAAUAUGAUGAGCGGGAGAAGCCUGUCCCGUACAUCCCGUGCCCCCGCAAGACGCUUACUACAACAUGCAUGACAUAUAGAUCUGGAAGAAUACCUCAGAAAAGUUCUAGAAUGUUUGUUAUAAUAAUAAUGGCAAUGAUAAGUAAGUUUGUUUGUUUGUUAAGCACUUACAGUGUUCUCAUAAUGAACUUGACUUGGCUGUGUUUACUCCUUUUAUGUUUACUUUUUGCAAAUGUUCAUUGGGUUUAUUAUUCUCACAGGAAUGUUUGCUGAAAUGUUCAUUUUAAAGAGGAUUUUGGAAGACAUUCUUAAAUUGUAAAUUUUAAACUCAUAAAUAUUAGAGCCAUUAGAGAGUAUUCAUUUACUUACGAAUUAUGGUUAUCAUCUUAGAGAACAAAAGAAAUGUUUUAUCCAAUUAUAGUUAACACAAGGGAAAAUAACAGAUUUUGCUAGCAAUGAGCUGCUUGAAUGUAAUGUGCCAAGUAAGAUAUUUUCUUAGCACUUGAAAUGUUAAUUCUGUAGUGAUUCCUACCAACUGAUGAACGUAGAUAUUGUGUGUAUUUCUCUACUCACGUGCCUCCCUCUGCAGGGUAUAUGGUUCUGUUGUAAACUUAACCAGGGAGAAGUUAAAUUCACAAAUCAGUCUUUUUGAUUGUGUGUGUUGUAUGUGCUUGUGGUGCUCAUAAAAAGAAAUCCUUAAUUCAUGUAAUCAAUGGCCAUAACAAAUCAUUCUUAAACUCCUUGUGCAAAACAUGAUUUGUUCAUUUAGCAAGCAACAGUAACUUGUACCAUUUUUCAUCCUGGGGUCCUGAGUUUGGACAGCAGAAAAUGUCAACUCUCCUCUCUCACCUAUCUGUCAUGAAAAUUUGGGUGGUCUUUCCCCAUGUAUGUUUACUUCCAUGUCAUCCCUGCACUAUGACUGUUGAACUCUAUGGCUGCUCCAUGCUCAUCAACAAUCCAUUAUUUGUGUCUAAUUCCAGUCAGCUUCCUUGAGCAACAACUUCAUAGGAAUUUCAUAGUUAGAGCCCUUAACUGGGGACACAACCACAGACAGAGAGUGAGCUCAUGGAUUACUCUGGAAGAGACAGCAUUCUUUCUUUUCUAUCAAAAAAUGUGGAAGAAAUGAAAAAAUAAAAUGAAAGAAUCAGAGGUAAACUGAAGAAAUUAAAAAAUAAAAAAGAAGCUGCUGUCCAUUUAGAUUGUGGUAAUUUGUUAUGAUGUUUACUAAAAUGCUUUUGAAAAACACAAUGAAGCAAAGCUUAAAUGCAAAAAUAAAAUAACCUGCCCACAAAUAUAAGCAAGGACAUUUAUCAGAAAACAGAUGUUCUCUUAUAGCAGAACUAAACACUCCUAGAAACAUAACAAUCCAUUUAUCUUAAUGAAUGCAUCCUCUAGCAGAUAUUAGAAGUAACAGCAGCAACAGUUUACCUGCAGGUCUACUAAAUGUAUUUCCAUGAAAAUUUGGGACAUAGGGAUAAGCUUGGGAUUUUGAUUCUUUUUUUUUUCCCUUGAUCAGAUAUUGAUUAGGGAAGAACUUUGUUUUUCCCUUGGUUAUGAAGAUGACUUGUUCUCUGGAGUCAAUUUCUGUACAAUUUAAGUAACUGCAAAUCUUUUUAAAGUUAUAUCUAGUUACUCUACAGUGGCAUCUGGAAAUCAGACCCAGUCCUUGCACAUGCCCUCUGUAAUGAGAGAAUCUCUUAAGAAGUUGAAUUAUCAGUUUCCAUCUCCCUUUGCAUCACUGAAGAAGUUUAAGAACAACAUCUUAGCUAUGGUCAGUAGUAAACAAGUUUUUAAAAAUAUUUCCAGCACACUAUAAGUGGAUUCUACCUAGAAUUGUAUUCAUUUCUAAACUCCUAUUCUUUCUCAAUUGAUAAAUGAUUAGCCAAAAUUCUGCGAAUAAUUCUCAAAGAUAGUCAGUUCCUCUUGUACAGAAAAUUCUGAAUAAUAACAGAACAUUAUGUAAACUGUUCAUUUUAAUAUUAUUCUUCCUAGGAAUUCAGUACAGCAUUAUAAGCAUUAGUGCCAUAAAUUGUCUCUGGCUUGACUUUUGUAGCAUUUACAAUUGCUUUUAAGUUAGAAUACUUGUAAUGACCUUUUAUAAUGACUUGUAUUACCAUUAAGCAUACCUAAACAUUUAACUGUCCUUAUAACAGCAGAAGGGUCUCACAAAUAAACAUAUAUCAGC
Molecule: long non-coding RNA, 2362 nt
Filed under: Gallus gallus (chicken)
Lineage: Eukaryota; Metazoa; Chordata; Aves; Galliformes; Phasianidae
Description: lncRNA (ENSGALG00010024299.1)
Source: RNAcentral